UCCCAAUACUCGCCUGAUAGC
RNAcentral lists this non-coding RNA (21 nucleotides) under Arabidopsis thaliana (thale cress). Lineage: Eukaryota; Viridiplantae; Streptophyta; Magnoliopsida; Brassicales; Brassicaceae. The record is from RNAcentral.